GCAGCCGCCGCGGGAAUACGUAGGUGGCAAGCGUUGUCCGGAAUUAUUGGGCGUAAAGCGCGCGCAGGCGGAUCAGUUAGUCUGUCUUAAAAGUUCGGGGCUUAACCCCGUGAUGGGAUGGAAACUGCUGAUCUAGAGUAUCGGAGAGGAAAGUGGAAUUCCUAGUGUAGCGGUGAAAUGCGUAGAUAUUAGGAAGAACACCAGUGGCGAAGGCGACUUUCUGGACGAAAACUGACGCUGAGGCGCGAAAGCCAGGGGAGCGAACGGGAUUAGAUACCCGUGUAGUCCCUGUCUCUUAUACA
This 302-nucleotide ribosomal RNA is filed under the name uncultured bacterium. RNAcentral describes it as "partial 16S ribosomal RNA". It matches the Rfam family "Bacterial small subunit ribosomal RNA", at positions 508 to 809 of the family's 1533-position model. The record is from RNAcentral.